This 2319-nucleotide long non-coding RNA is filed under the name Canis lupus familiaris (dog). RNAcentral describes it as "lncRNA (ENSCAFG00000054611.1)". The record is from RNAcentral. Lineage: Eukaryota; Metazoa; Chordata; Mammalia; Carnivora; Canidae.
CUUUGCAACCUGAAGCCUCACCACCAACCCUCUGGACCUCAGUUUCUCCAUCUGCAGGAUGAGUUAUUGUUUUGCUUCCUCUCUGAGCAGGUCUUUGCAAAUUAAAUUAGCUAACAUACACAAAAUGCUUGGUUCAUCGUAUACAUCUGACUGAUGGUAGCUAUUAUUGUUGGAUUUAUUUUUAGGAACUAAAGUGUCUUCACUAACCUUACCUCUUGCUUCUUUGUCACUGUCAACACCAGGUCCAAAGAGCCCGUGAAAUAUCUUACUAGGCGGUCAUGAUUUCGGCCCAGGGAAAUCGAAAAUGGCCUGGCAUGCUGGCAACCGAAACAGAUGAUCGGCCAAAGGCCCCACCUGGGGCCACACAGUUGUCGUCCCCGUCGCCCCCCCCUCUUUCGCAGCCACCUGCCAGGCCCAUUCCAGCAGGAGGGUCACCAGGCUCACACACCAAAGGGCUGCAAGGUCUAAUUCCCUUACGAGGAGUGAGUGGAGAGUCAGAAGCCAAGAUCUCAUCCAUCGACCACAGGUGGGGACUUAGGAUUUGAACUCAGGACUGUCUGACUUGAGAGUCUGUGUUUGCUCCUCCUGCCUCACUGACUUCGAUCCUGGGCAAAGUGUCACGGGUGCAACAAAGAAGAGAGUGGAAAACUUUUUGGGGGACAAGGCAGGAUGGUUUCCCCAUCGUUCCCUGCCCACAAAGGCUGUUCCUGAGCACCCGAGGGGACCAUCCAGCUCGCCACCAUCUCAAGUAGCCUGGGACCAAACAGAAUGGCUUCUGGGGCCUCCGGAAAGCCUCGGGCAGAGCUGGCAGGAGCACUCGACUCUCCAGGAAUGCCCUUGUCGGGACUGAAGAGCCGGCUGGCCAUUCACUUCAAUUACCCGGCAGGCAUCCUCCGGAGCCAGCUCCUUUCCGAGUCAGAGUAUAAAUAGGUCAUGUGUGUCUGGAAGCCCUAACAAACGAGAGGGGGGAAAAGAAGGAAGAAGGAGCGAUAGAUUCCCCCCCUUCUCCCCCCCACCCCUUCCCCCCACCACCAGUGUUUCACUGAAGCAGGAAGGAGCGGACCCACCCUGGAGGCUCUGGUUGUGAAAGGUGCAGCCGGGCCUGGAGGAGCUGCGGGGAGGCCGAUAAGGGGGCGCACAGGUCCCCCCCCACCGCCACACCUGCAAGCACCCCCGCGGCCCACACAGGAUCCCCCGGGGCCGUGACCCAAUCGGACACUCGCCAAGCAAUCCACCGAGGGAGGAAGAAUUGGGAUCCCUGGGUGGCGCAGCGGUUUGGCGCCUGCCUUUGGCUCAGGGCGUGAUCCUGGAGACCCGGGAUCGAAUCCCACAUCGGGCUCCUGGUGCAUGGAGCCUGCUUCUCCCUCUGCCUGUGUCUCUGCCUCUCUCUCUCUCUCUGUGACUAUCAUAAAUAAAUAAAAAUUAAAAAAAAAAGGGUCAUGUCCCCAUUUAAAAAAAAAUAAAAUAAAACGUGCACCCGCAAAAAAAAAUAAAAAAAUAAAACGUGCACACGCUGCUCACUCCUGCAGCUGCUGUGUUUGAAAGAAAGAUAUGGGGAGAAAAGAAAUGUAGCAAAUAAUAGAGCCGCUGACGUGUUGCGGAACACCCGGGAGAAGGAGGUGAUUUUCUUGUCAAGCUCCACGGGCAUCAGGACGCUGAGCAGCAGUGGACGGAGAGGACCCAGGCAGGAGCCCAUGUCAGAAACGCGGUGCUGGAUGAGAGGUCUUCCGGGCCCACAUCCCUGCCUAGAUUGUCCCUCCGAAGCGUGGCCCGGAUCAAAUCAAACACUCCGGGGCAAGGGGACUUACAUAGGUGGGGGGGGGAACCCACCACUUCCUGAGAACGUCUCUGUGCCCGCACAGCAGGUUUUACAGAUGGGGCUCCGGGCAGCCCUGCGUGGGAGCGAGGCGUGACUCAGCCCAUACUACACACGAGGGGACAGACUGACACAGAAACGUUCAGCGACUUGCCUGAGGCAGCCCAGCUCAUGGGUAACACAGCCCAUGUUGAAAAUCGGAUCCGAGUCCGGACCCGUGUUUUUCAUUUAUGACACGGCCUCCCAAAACGGUAGGUGAAAACCCUUCACCUCCGAGUGGACACGAUUUGGACAAUGUGGGUUGCUGCAAAAUUGUUUUGCAAGAUUAAAAGCCUGUGCUAAAAAAAUAAAAAGCCUGUGCUCACCAAUUAUGAGCUCCCUGCAGCCCUGCCUCCCCUACGGAUCAAACCGUCAAGAUCCGCGGCAGCCAAGUCAAGGCCGCAGCUUGUCCUGCUCUGUUUUUGACGACCCGGAGCCUCACUGGGUGAGAGUGAGGCCUUGGG